RNAcentral lists this ribosomal RNA (403 nucleotides) under uncultured bacterium. RNAcentral's name for it is "bacterial SSU rRNA". It matches the Rfam family "Bacterial small subunit ribosomal RNA", at positions 355 to 774 of the family's 1533-position model. The record is from RNAcentral.
UAGGGAAUAUUGCAAAAUGGGCGAAAGCCCGAUGCAGCAACGCCGCGUGGGCGAUGAAGGCCUUCGGGUCGUAAAGCCCUUUUUGAGGGGAUGAGGAAGGACAGUACCCUCAGAAUAAGCCUCGGCUAACUACGUGCCAGCAGCCGCGGUAAAACGUAGGAGGCGAGCGUUAUCCGGAUUUACUGGGCGUAAAGCGCGUGCAGGCGGAUUGGAGAGUUGGAUGUGAAAGCUCCCGGCUUAACUGGGAGAGGUCGUUCAAUACUUCCAGUCUUGAGUGCAGUAGAGNGAAGUGGAAUUCCGGGUGUAGUGGUGAAAUGCGUAGAUAUCCGGAGGAACACCAGUGGCGGAAGCGGCUUCCUGGACUGUAACUGACGCUCAGACGCGAAAGCUAGGGUAGCAAACG